GACGAACGCUGGCGGCGUGCUUAACACAUGCAAGUCGAGCGGAAAGGCCCCUUGUGGGUACUCGAGCGGCGAACGGGUGAGUAACACGUGAGUAACCUGCCCUCCACUCCGGGAUAAGCCUGGGAAACCGGGUCUAAUACCGGAUACGACCGUCGUGGGCAUCCGCGGUGGUGGAAAGCGUCUAGUGGUGGGGGAUGGGCUCGCGGCCUAUCAGCUUGUUGGUGGGGUAGUGGCCUACCAAGGCGACGACGGGUAGCCGGCCUGAGAGGGCGACCGG
RNAcentral lists this ribosomal RNA (277 nucleotides) under uncultured bacterium. Its description in RNAcentral is "partial 16S ribosomal RNA". It matches the Rfam family "Bacterial small subunit ribosomal RNA", at positions 28 to 307 of the family's 1533-position model. The record is from RNAcentral.